CCCUUAGAUGUUCUGGGCUGCACGCGCGCUACACUGUCGGAUUCAGCGAGUCAUAUCCUUAACCGAAAGGUUUGGGUAAUCUUUUGAAAGUCCGACGUGAUGGGGAUUGAUCAUUGCAAUUAUUGAUCAUGAACGAGGAAUUCCUAGUAAGCGCGAGUCAUCAGCUCGCGUUGAUUACGUCCCUGCCCUUUGUACACACCGCCCGUCGCUACUACCGAUUGAAUGGUUUAGUGGGAUCUUCGGAUUGGCGCCUACGCGGCUUCUCUGAGGCCACGCUGGAUGCCGAAAAGUUGCUCAAACUGUAUCAUUUAGAGGAAGUAAAAGUCGUAACA
Molecule: ribosomal RNA, 332 nt
Filed under: uncultured eukaryote
Lineage: Eukaryota
Description: partial 18S ribosomal RNA
Rfam family: Eukaryotic small subunit ribosomal RNA
Source: RNAcentral